RNAcentral lists this ribosomal RNA (490 nucleotides) under uncultured bacterium. RNAcentral describes it as "partial 16S ribosomal RNA". It matches the Rfam family "Bacterial small subunit ribosomal RNA", at positions 30 to 507 of the family's 1533-position model. The record is from RNAcentral.
AUUGAACGCUGGCGGCAGGCCUAACACAUGCAAGUCGAACGGUAACAGGAAGCAGCUUGCUGCUUUGCUGACGAGUGGCGGACGGGUGAGUAAUGUCUGGGAAACUGCCUGAUGGAGGGGGAUAACUACUGGAAACGGUAGCUAAUACCGCAUAACGUCGCAAGACCAAAGAGGGGGACCUUCGGGCCUCUUGCCAUCGGAUGUGCCCAGAUGGGAUUAGCUAGUAGGUGGGGUAACGGCUCACCUAGGCGACGAUCCCUAGCUGGUCUGAGAGGAUGACCAGCCACACUGGAACUGAGACACGGUCCAGACCCCUACGGGAGGCAGCAGUGGGGAAUAUUGCACAAAGGGCUCAAGCCUGAUGCAGCCAUGCCGCGUGUAUGAAGAAGGCCUUCGGGUUGUAAAGUACUUUCAGCGGGGAGGAAGGGAGUAAAGUUAAUACCUUUGCUCAUUGACGUUACCCGCAGAAGAAGCACCGGCUAACUCCGUG